This 524-nucleotide ribosomal RNA is filed under the name uncultured bacterium. RNAcentral describes it as "bacterial SSU rRNA". It matches the Rfam family "Bacterial small subunit ribosomal RNA", at positions 355 to 896 of the family's 1533-position model. The record is from RNAcentral.
UGGGGAAUAUUGCACAAUGGGGGAAACCCUGAUGCAGCGACGCCGCGUGAGUGAAGAAGUAUUUCGGUAUGUAAAGCUCUAUCAGCAGGGAAGAUAAUGACAGUACCUGACUAAGAAGCCCCGGCUAACUACGUGCCAGCAGCCGCGGUAAUACGUAGGGGGCAAGCGUUAUCCGGAUUUACUGGGUGUAAAGGGAGCGUAGACGGAAUGGCAAGUCUGAAGUGAAAUACCCGGGCUCAACCUGGGAACUGCUCUGGAAACUGUUGUUCUAGAGUGUUGGAGAGGUAAGUGGAAUUCCUGGUGUAGCGGUGAAAUGCGUAGAUAUCAGGAAGAACACCGGAGGCGAAGGCGGCUUACUGGACAAUAACUGACGUUGAGGCUCGAAAGCGUGGGGAUCAAACAGGAUUAGAUACCCUGGUAGUCCACGCUGUAAACGAUGAAUACUAGGUGUCGGGGUGCAAAGCAUCUCGGUGCCGUCGCUAACGCAAUAAGUAUUCCACCUGGGGAGUACGUUCGCAAGAAUG